GAGGGUAGAGCUCAGAGGCAGAGUGCAUGCUUAGCAUGCCCAAGGUCCUGGGUUCAAUCCUCAGUACCUCCA
This 72-nucleotide transfer RNA is filed under the name Camelus bactrianus (Bactrian camel). It matches the Rfam family "tRNA". From Rfam's summary of the family: Transfer RNA (tRNA) molecules are approximately 80 nucleotides in length. Their secondary structure includes four short double-helical elements and three loops (D, anti-codon, and T loops). The record is from Rfam by way of RNAcentral. RNAcentral also lists the same sequence under 2 other names. Lineage: Eukaryota; Metazoa; Chordata; Mammalia; Artiodactyla; Camelidae.